This is a long non-coding RNA of Erinaceus europaeus (western European hedgehog), 581 nucleotides long. RefSeq lists it as uncharacterized. The record is from RefSeq and is a predicted model, not a curated record. The transcript has 5 exons. NCBI's taxonomy places the organism in Eukaryota, Metazoa, Chordata, Mammalia, Eulipotyphla, Erinaceidae.
CGACAAGAUCUCCCACUCAGGCCAGCUGGAUGUCCUGAACCCGCCCCGAGCCCGCCCCCGACCCGCCCCCUGCGCUUCAGGAACCGCGGAGCCCGCCUGCCGAACUCGUGUACCCCUUGUCACAAGUACCUGGAAGUGAUAAGAACCAGGAUGUUAAUGCAGGAGGAAACAAUUUUCUGCCCCAGCAGGAGUGCUGGACCACCUCUACAAAGAAGGCCAGACGAGUGCUUGCUAAUGAGCCAUUCUGGGCUCCCAGCUCCCACGGUUGCCCUGAGUUCAGCAUGUACCUGCCUUGCUCACUUUCCAAGCCAGCUGGAGCAGCCCACACACUCAGGCACAAGACGAACUUUCUCAUUCUCAGUGGGAUCACCACACAGAUCCGUUCCACGAUUUUGAAUAUUUCCUGUGGCAGCUAGCCAAAAUUCCUCAACCUGCCAAAUGACCGACAAGGAAGAUGAACACUUUUUUUAAAUGCAAUAAGCACAAGAAAAUUCCCCAAGCGCUUGUGAUGCUUACAAUAUUAGCAUGGCUGGAGACCACCUCAUCCAGUGUGUGUGUGCCCUGCACUGUUCCAAGAUCUG